CCCCAAUAAAUUGAGUAGAUCAGCUACCAUAUAUUCUCUCUACAUUUGCUGAAAUGUUGCAAUAAACAAGGAAGAAAAAAAUGGCCAUCAAAUCUGUAACCUUGUUAGCACUGACCAUUGAUGUGAAAAAGGGUUCAUACACAAAGCGUACAAGAACAACACCCGGAUCAACUGGAUGAGGAAAUCAGUAACAGUAAAGCCAUUGCAAUCUAUUUCAAUCUAUUGUUAGGCAGCCUACAUUGUUAGGUAGUAUAUUUUCCUAGUUUGCUGUGUGCUACUUGGCUAUUUAUUGCAUUCAUAUAUUGUGUGGGGAGUAAUACAAAACAUAAUUCUAAACAAUAAAUAAAACCAGCGUUUGCAUGUGUAGCAAGGUAGUUGGGAUAACAUAGGAGAUGACAGGUUUCGAGUAAAGGUAAUUUAGCAUGUAUCUAGUAAAUAUAACAGUAUGUAUGUACAUACUGCUAUGGGUAGUGAGAUUUCUUUAAAAAAGUUGUGUUUUGUUGUCAAAUAUAAUAUUUCCUAGUGAAAAGGCUUUGUCUUAGAAUGGGGAAGAGGAACCAUUUCUUGGAGCAAAGAUGUUAACAGCUCUCUCUGCAUAUUUAGUGUAGAAAGGCCAUUACCUUACUACCUUCCAUACCACAGCAAUAGGAAUACAUGUUAGAUGGCUAAUUCAUUGCCAAAAGUGACCGAAGGCUUUUAUACUCAUAUAAGACCUCAGAGAAUGACCACAAGUGACCAAAACUAUAGCCACUAUAGUUCAGUAUAUGUUUUUACAUAGUAUGUUUUUAAAAGAAUAUAUUUCAGCACAAGCCAAUGGCCUUGAAACCCUGAAUAUGCAGAGUUAAAUAUAUGUUAUAUAAAUGAAUAUGUUAACACUUCUCCAUUCUAACAUAAAGCCCUUUCCCAAGAGAAUGUAUUUUGAAGAUGAGACACUAUAUUACACAUACCUACAUACAUAUCACAGACCAUACCCAUCAAAAUGUAUUAUACGGCAUUAUAUUGCACAGUGCACAAGCCCAUGACUGUGACUUCUUGUGACUAUAUUGCACUCAGAUCACAGGAACACUACUGUUCAAAGUUAAAUGAAUGUGUGUUCUACCAAAACUAGCGUUGUGUUUCAAAAUACUGAGGUCGUGUCACUGUCCUCUAUGCUGGUUACGGGGUCUGUAUGACGGGCAAGACAUUGUGUGUUCUCAUUUCAAUACUUUUUACUUUCAUCAUCUUCAUUUCAAUAGUCUCAUUUUGAAACGAUUUUAUGCAAUUUGCUACUUCAUCAUUUUAAUUGUAUUCACCUUUUUUUCUUAAAUCCAUGCAAACUUGACCAAAUUCAAUGAAAUACCCUUUGCUUUAUCCCCUUUUGCAGUCAUUUGAACAAUGUUUAUUAUUUGUAGUACAAAAGACAAUCAACGAAUAUAAAAAAGACCAUUUAUUUAUUUUGUGUCAUUAAAAAGACAUGAGAAAAUACUGAUCAUGAAAAGUAUCAUCAGUGUCUUCAUCCACAGCCUUCCUUUCACUGAAAAAUUGUUUUCUAACACAGUUUUCUAAUAUACAAAAUCACAAUAAAGAGUAGUAAAUAUGUUUAUUUAUUUGUUAAUUAAAAAUGCUUUACCAGUGGAAGGAGACCAAACCAAAGAUUUAUAUUAUUUAUGACGGUUACUGUGGCAUAUGGACUACCAUCUAAUCCAAAAUCUGCCUUAUCUUCAAGCAUCACAUUACUGAGAGAUCUACUCAUAAUUUCACAGACAGACACUACUUACAGUGGUUUUAUGUUUUAUGUCAUGCCAGGUUUUGGCACAUCUCUUUCAUAAGAAACUAUCCUCCAUGCUGAAAAGUACAAGUUUGUUUUCUGUGUGUUUCCACAGGUGCUGAACAUUCAUACACAAGUACGACAGUACAAACAAGCGUUGGAACUAAAGCGGGCUGAUUCUUAGACAUCCCCAUGCAGUGACUGGCUGCUGCUGGUUGUCCAUUGCCAAUAUUUUUUUACUGGAUCUUGAGCAUCAUGGGAUUGGAAGAACACAGCUGAUGCUGGCGUUGGUGUGGGAUGGAGCAAAGGCUUCACAAAAAGUAUCCCUUCAAAUGUCUGACCUGGGAUUUCUUACUUCACGGGCACCUUGGAGUGCAGCUAUACAUUGUUAGAGGGGUUUCUGGAUUUUGGCUCAGGAACAGCAUUUGUCAGCCGGUUUCCUGAAAAACACAUAAGAAGAGACAUUCCUCCGUGAGACCAGCAGAAACUAAUCUGGCGGGAGGCAAUCUAUUUAUUUAUUUAUAAGUAUUUCAGACUACCAAAGGAACUAUUUCAGAGCCAAGCAACUGGAACUCUAUCUAGUUCCUGCGGAGACAAAAACAUCAUGUGAAGAGAACAGGAGCAAAGUAGAAAUCCUUGUGGAAUUUCCAUGUCAUUUCUGCUUAGAUCCCUGAGCGGAGAACAGCCGGCUGUACACAGACAUACCUGUAUAUAGAUACAAAUAUAGACAGACUGGGCACAUAGAGGAUUGAAGAACUGAAUACAGCAAUCCUUAAAUAACUUGUAACUUUAAAAAUGAUGUUCCUUUAAUUUAAAAUCAAAGACUUAAAAAAUGUAUGAAUUUAAGAUGAGGCUAACUUUAGGUUGGGACAAGGCAUACAAGGCUCCCAUUGGAUGAGGCCAGCAGUCUUAUUUUGACCCCAGCUGAAAUAUCUCAAGUCUUUGUUUACACACUGAAAAGGGUGGAGCCUAAAGCAAAGUAGAUACCAGUAGAUGCCUGGUCAAAAUCCCAGAAAGAAUUCUCAAGUAUGGAAGUCAAAGGCAGCUUAUUUGGUCUGCGAGUCAUUCAAAAGUCUUAAGAUGGCUAAAAUUCAAUAGUCAGAGCGUGGCGUUUAAUCUCAUAAAAAAUAUUACCUACCACUAGAAGCAAUACCUUUAAAUUGUUUCUAUUAACGUUACUUUCAUCGACUAUGGGUAAGUGCAGGUUCAACGAGAUCUGCCUCGAGAACAGUGCAUUUAGUUGCAGGUUAAGUCUGUUGAAAGUUCAAUAGUUGAAGCCUGUUGAAAAUAUUGAAAUUUGUAGCCCGCUGCACCUUCUGCAAGAAAACACUAAAAUUAGGAACUUCAUGUAUAAAGGGAUUCAAGGAUAGGAUGUCAAAAAACAAAGCUGCUGUAAAAAGCCACCAGCAGACACCUGCCAUCACCCAAUAUUGAUCUAUAUUCACAUCAGGAGCAUCACCAGCAGACACCUGCCAUCACCCAAUAUUGAUCUAUGUUCACAUCAGGAGCAUCACCCAAUAUUGAUCUAUAUUCACAUCAGGAGCAUCACCAAAGUCAGGCCCCAGCACGACCCAAUCUGCUCUAAUGUUAACUCCUGCAACUCCGUAAAACGACCUCCGGUGCUCGGGACUUUACACACGGUAGCUAAACAUCAGACAUAAAAGCAAUGAAGACAGUGAGCUGUUUCAAACCAUGUUUCCUGAUUCUGACAGUGCUAAAAAGGAGUCACACACACACACAGUUCUGUUGAAUGUUCAUGUUGAAUGUGAAUAAAUUCUAGGACUCUGAUUUUCCUUCAUAUCCUCUGUACGAAGUAUCGUUUUGCCAAUAUGGACGUGAAACGUCUUAAAUUGCAUUCAUAAUGGUCUUAAAAAGGUCUUAAUUUGUUGAAACCUGCAGAAUCCCUGUCCUGCCUUGAAUCCCUUUCAUGUUUUGUCCCUCCUGUCCACCUAUGUAUUUCAUAAUCACCUCUACCUAAAUAGUGUGUUCUUUCCUGUUCACAUACAGGGUCCAUCACCUGUGUCCCCUCUGUCUCUCUAUGGUGAUGCCACUACCUCAAGUCAUGUUUCUGUAUUCUCUCGUCCUCUCUCUCCUCUCAUUCCCUGCCGGGUCCUCUCCGUUUAUCCGUCCUUCUGAGAGAAAAGGAAAUUCCAUGUGCAGUCUGAGCAACCCUGUUUGCCCUCCCAAACACUAUUCUCUUUCAUUCCUUCUCCACAGAUUGUUUAUUUUGGUGCUCUUUAACACUCGGAGGCCUUUCAGAACAGACAAAUGAAAACACCACCCUAACUCUCAAAGCAAUGACACUGCUGCUGGAAGCAGCUUCUCCCAGCUCAGCAAGGAAACAGGGCAAAUGGCACCGAACAAACGCUGAAGCUCCUUUCGACAUGUUUCAGAACCUCUUCUGGAGCGCUCAGUAAGUGCUCUGACAGGGGGGACAAAAGGCCUAAAUACAAUGACAUGAGAACAAAAACAAGAUGAAAAUAGAAGUGCCAAAAGUGCCGAAACAUCUAGUGAAACAUCUAGUCUUUGGUUUCUAUAUGAUACAUCAUAAACCAUUACUGAAACACAGUAUUGUAAAGUAUCAGUAAGUAUUUUUAAGUAUCAGUGUGACAUGUUAUAUAGACUAGGUUGUUGGGUAUGAAUACUUGCAUGUGACAGUGAUAGGUUGGGCCACUGUGGGAAGUCCAAUAGCACAAGGAAUUUAAUCUUCUCAUGUGUAUCGAACUAAGAAAUAGCAACAAAGUAUUGUGGUGUAAUCUGGUUUUGAACAGGCAAAAGGUUUUGUGGCAUAGAUUCAACAAGGCCCUGAAAAUGAAUGAAUGGAAUUUGGUAUUCAAAUAGAUUGCCUUGCCUACCAGAUGUACAUGUAAAGUAAUAAUGUUCAUACUGUCAGGUUUUAUUUUUCAAAAAUGGCCGGCGGUCUAUACAUCUACCACUUCCUUACAUUACAUUAUUAUAAAAAGAACACAAUGAAGGACACAGAGAAAGUCUUUUAUAUAGUCAGAUACUACACUAUACACGGUCUACAUUGGCACUACAUUGCAACUGCUGCAAAUCCUAAAAUAAAUUAAAAGGAAGAAAAUCUUUAUUCUAUUUUUCAUUAUCAGCUCUUCUCUUGUCCUGCCUAUUUUGACUUUCCCUUUUGUGUUUUCUCUUCACUUGUUUUCACUUUUUCAUUAUUUUUCUAGAAUGUACAGUAUAUCUUUGUCUUUACUCCAAGCCAUAAUUCUAAAUGUCCUUCUAUUUUACUCCCUUAUUUUUCUCCCUUUUUAUGUCUUUCCCCAAUGCUCCUCUCUGAAAAUCCCUUUCCAUCCAUGCAUUUGUGCUCAGAAGCAGCUCUGUUUCCCCCCUACUCACCCCUGUCACACUGGCUAACCACAAAAAUGCAGCUGGUGGAGAGUAUGAGGGGUCUGGAAUUCCACAUGCCCUGAGUCAACACAGUAGCUGCCAUGAAGACACACACACACACAUGGAGGAGCAAACACACACACACACACACACACACACACACACACA
Long non-coding RNA from Clupea harengus (Atlantic herring), 5263 nucleotides. NCBI's taxonomy places the organism in Eukaryota, Metazoa, Chordata, Actinopteri, Clupeiformes, Clupeidae. The record is from Ensembl.